UUCUUCCUACGGGAGGCAGCAGUGAGGGAUAUUGGUCAAUGGGGGAAACCCUGAACCAGCAACGCCGCGUGAGGGAAGACGGUUUUCGGAUUGUAAACCUCUGUCCUCUGUGAAGAUAAUGACGGUAGCAGAGGAGGAAGCUCCGGCUAACUACGUGCCAGCAGCCGCGGUAAUACGUAGGGAGCAAGCGUUGUCCGGAUUUACUGGGUGUAAAGGGUGCGUAGGCGGGCUUGCAAGUCAGAAGUGAAAUCUAUGGGCUUAACCCAUAAACUGCUUUUGAAACUGUAAGUCUU
RNAcentral lists this ribosomal RNA (293 nucleotides) under uncultured bacterium. Its description in RNAcentral is "partial 16S ribosomal RNA". It matches the Rfam family "Bacterial small subunit ribosomal RNA", at positions 333 to 643 of the family's 1533-position model. The record is from RNAcentral.